UACGUAGGGUGCAAGCGUUGUCCGGAUUUAUUGGGCGUAAAGAGCUCGUAGGCGGUUUGUCGCGUCGGAUGUGAAAACCUGUGGCUUAACCACGGGCCUGCAUUCGAUACGGGCAAACUAGAGUGUGGUAGGGGAGACUGGAACUCCUGGUGUAGCGGUGAAAUGCGCAGAUAUCAGGAAGAACACCGGUGGCGAAGGCGGGUCUCUGGGCCACUACUGACGCUGAGGAGCGAAAGCGUGGGGAGCGAACAGG
Molecule: ribosomal RNA, 253 nt
Filed under: uncultured bacterium
Lineage: Bacteria
Description: partial 16S ribosomal RNA
Rfam family: Bacterial small subunit ribosomal RNA
Source: RNAcentral